RNAcentral lists this ribosomal RNA (484 nucleotides) under uncultured bacterium. RNAcentral describes it as "partial 16S ribosomal RNA". It matches the Rfam family "Bacterial small subunit ribosomal RNA", at positions 30 to 507 of the family's 1533-position model. The record is from RNAcentral.
AUUGAACGCUGGCGGCAGGCCUAACACAUGCAAGUCGAGCGGAUGAAGGGAGCUUGUUCCUGGAUUCAGCGGCGGACGGGUGAGUAAUGCCUAGGAAUCUGCCUGGUAGUGGGGGAUAACGUCCGGAAACGGGCGCUAAUACCGCAUACGACCUGAGGGUGAAAGUGGGGGAUCUUCGGACAUCACGCUAUCAGAUGAGCCUAGGUCGGAUUAGCUAGUUGGUGGGGUAAAGGCCUACCAAGGCGACGAUCCGUAACUGGUCUGAGAGGAUGAUCAGUCACACUGGAACUGAGACACGGUCCAGACUCCUACGGGAGGCAGCAGUGGGGAAUAUUGGGCAAUGGGCGAAAGCCUGAUCCAGCCAUGCCGCGUGUGUGAAGAAGGUCUUCGGAUUGUAAAGCACUUUAAGUUGGGAGGAAGGGCAGUAAGUUAAUACCUUGCUGUUUUGACGUUACCAACAGAAUAAGCACCGGCUAACUUCGUG